RNAcentral lists this ribosomal RNA (506 nucleotides) under uncultured Glomeraceae. Its description in RNAcentral is "SSU rRNA". It matches the Rfam family "Eukaryotic small subunit ribosomal RNA", at positions 569 to 1078 of the family's 1831-position model. The record is from RNAcentral. Lineage: Eukaryota; Fungi; Glomeromycota; Glomeromycetes; Glomerales; Glomeraceae.
AGCAGCCGCGGUAAUUCCAGCUCCAAUAGCGUAUAUUAAAGUUGCUGCAGUUAAAAAGCUCGUAGUUGAAUUUCGGGACCAAUAUGUCGGUCGUGCCUCGGUACGUACUGGCAUCGUUGGUUUCUCCCUUCUGACGAACCAUGAUGUCAUUUAUUUGGUGUUGCGAGGAAUCUGGACUGUUACUUUGAAAAAAUUAGAGUGUUUAAAGCAGGCUAACGCUUGAAUACAUUAGCAUGGAAUAAUGAAAUAGAACGUUCGAUCUUAUUUUGUUGGUUUCUAAGAUUGACGUAAUGAUUAAUAGGGAUAGUUGGGGGCAUUAGUAUUCAAUUGUCAGAGGUGAAAUUCUUGGAUUUAUUGAAGACUAACUACUGCGAAAGCAUUUGCCGAGGAUGUUUUCAUUAAUCAAGAACGAAAGUUAGGGGAUCGAAGACGAUCAGAUACCGUCGUAGUCUUAACCAUAAACUAUGCCGACUAGGGAUCGGAUGAUGUAAUUUUUUAAUGACUCA